Molecule: transfer-messenger RNA, 392 nt
Filed under: uncultured Alloprevotella sp.
Lineage: Bacteria; Pseudomonadati; Bacteroidota; Bacteroidia; Bacteroidales; Prevotellaceae
Rfam family: transfer-messenger RNA
About the family: Bacterial tmRNA, also known as 10Sa RNA or SsrA, is named for its dual tRNA and mRNA-like properties. Its role is to liberate the mRNA from a stalled ribosome.
Source: RNAcentral
GACCGGAUUUGACAGCGGGUCGGAGUUUUGUGUAAGCACGCAGUGCGCCGUGGGUGGGCACUUUAAUCUCGGCCCUCAAAGAAUUUAACUGGCGAAAACAAAUUUGCUCUCGCUGCCUAAUCGAAGCACAGUAGAUUGGCUUUAUCCCUGCACAAGGUGCGGGGACGAGACAUCGCCCAAGAGCCGUUUUUUCCGAGGCUCCUUGAACCGGCGGUGCAGAAAAAUCGGGAAUAGUUUUCGAAUGCCUCGAUUCGAAGGCGAAAAGUUUAGAGGAUAAGGCGCGAGUUGGUGGCAUCGGUCUUGCUCACGCACGAAAAACUAAACGAUGAUAAGCGUGUAGAAAGCACGGGAUUUCCCCGUUUGGACGAGGGUUCAACUCCCUCCUGGUCCAC